Molecule: long non-coding RNA, 1837 nt
Organism: Arabidopsis lyrata subsp. lyrata
Lineage: Eukaryota; Viridiplantae; Streptophyta; Magnoliopsida; Brassicales; Brassicaceae
Exons: 3
Source: RefSeq, a predicted model, not a curated record
AUUAAAAAUGAGUUUGUAAUCUUGGUUACUAGAUAAUAGCAUUUAUUAAACGCUAAGAUAAAAAUUCCCUAAGCGGGAAUCUAAAAUCACCUAGUCCGCCAACACUUAACCAAAUUAUUCACUUAAGCGGCAAAAUAAUAGCUUUUUAUCGAAAAACUUCUUAGAUCUAAAAUAAUUUCUCUUUUUCUUAAAAAAACCUCUGAGAUCUAAAAAUCUCAUACCCACGAACUGAAUCUCGUCCUAGCCAGAGCAAUUGUCCCUUCCCUUGCUCUAUCCCUCUCUCGUCCUCCCUCUCUGUCAUUUUUUUGUGUCUAAAAACUUUGGCGGUUGUACGUAGACCAUGUGUUUGAUGAAAUUACUGCGACGGCGCUGUGGUUGGAUUUUGAAAGGGGAACUAUGGGUCAGAUCUUCAGUUUUCAUCAGAUCGUUAGCUAAAACGCCGUUUGUUGUCUCCCUCGUUCGUGCGUUCAAUUUUCUUCUCAGAUCUUCACAUCGUUUUGGCUUCAUCUCUAAACGUUGGGUCUGUGAAGCCUGGAGAUUCGACUAGUUCUCCCGAGAAUCAAUUUCAAGUAGCUCAAUCCAGUCCUCUUUCUCAAGGUUAAUUCCCUGUUAACUGCUUAUAGUUCGUCUCUUAGUUUCACCAUGUGGAUGAACGAAGAUAAACCUGCAGAUUUUUUUCUCUGCUCUCAUCACAAGUCAUUUGAUAUUAACUUCAUUACACUCAUGAAUACAAUUUUUUUUAAUGAACUUAUGUUGUUCGACAUAAUGCCUCAAUGAGAAUUCUUUUUCUGAUUAUAGUUGUUUUAUGAAUUAAACUUAUUCGUUUAUGAGAAGGAAGCUAAGGCGAUGCUAAUGAUAGAAAAUUUGAGGGUCUUGAAACAUAUUUUAAAGGCCAACGAAGAAAGGAGUGAAGGUCGCUGCCAAGAAAAAGAUGGUAUGACCUAGAUGAUUUGUUUUUUUUUUUUCUAAUUUGUAGUAAGUUUUCGAACAUUCAAUUAUUGUGUGUUUCUAUUUUAAAUGUUGAGUUUUUUUUUUCCUGUGCUUUGCUUGAUUUUGAUGCAAACUUGAUAUUUCGAUUAACACUUUUCUGGAUGUGAAGGAGUUCGAUAAGAGAGCAAGUUUUGGCUUCAUUGUUGCCGAAUUCAACAGGGACUUGUUAUUUUUCAGUCUCAGGAGAAGCUAAUUUGAAUGUAACUAUAUCCUUUGACAAGUUUAUGCUCUAACUAGCUAGUGUGCAGUUUUUUUUUUUUUACUUAAUUAAACUCCUAACUAGGUACAGAGUGCAAAAAUAUAUUUCUUUUCUUGACCAACCAUAAUAUUUACUUUGCAGGAGCAUCGAUCAGAGUUGGAAAACUAGACCAACCAUAAUUUUUGUUGAAUUAUCAAUCUCAGGCCAUGAAAGGUUCUUUCUAUGACUUCUAAGUAUCUCUAAAAACGUUUGUUGAUGCUUCCGAAGAGUUAAAGCUCUUAGAUGAUAAUGGAGAGCUUGGAAAUAAACUCAUUGUCUGUCAUUUAUAUACUACUUUCUAAGUUUGAGUUUAAUUUUCCUAAAGGUCUUGGUUUUGCUCAUUUAUGUUUGUUUAGUACAUACAAGUGAGAAGGAAGGUGUUUAGGAGAAGGAGCUUGCAUGUGGCUGCAGGAGCUUAAGUGCCUAUGGACGGGAGUUCUAAUAGGAACAAUUGAUGAGGAGGUGAAUAGAUAGAGGGGAAGAAAUUGAAGAGAUUGAAGUUUGUCUCUUUCCUUAUGAUGUUAGUAUAAGACUUGGUGUUAUGUAAGACUUGUUUGACUAAUUAGUUAAUGUAAUAUUAUUUGUUGAUGAUUUAUAAAAUAGAAAAGU